Phrynosoma platyrhinos (Desert horned lizard) is the source of this 73-nucleotide non-coding RNA. The record is from the annotation of a GenBank genome assembly. NCBI's taxonomy places the organism in Eukaryota, Metazoa, Chordata, Lepidosauria, Squamata, Phrynosomatidae.
UCACUGGUGUAGUGGUUUGAAUGCUAGACUACGAUUCUGGAGACCAGGGUUUGAUUCCCCGCUUGGCCGUGAA